This 76-nucleotide transfer RNA is filed under the name Actinobacteria bacterium RBG_13_63_9. Its description in RNAcentral is "tRNA-Ala". It matches the Rfam family "tRNA". Rfam says of the family: Transfer RNA (tRNA) molecules are approximately 80 nucleotides in length. Their secondary structure includes four short double-helical elements and three loops (D, anti-codon, and T loops). Further hydrogen bonds mediate the characteristic L-shaped molecular structure. tRNAs have two regions of fundamental functional importance: the anti-codon, which is responsible for specific mRNA codon recognition, and the 3' end, to which the tRNAs corresponding amino acid is attached (by aminoacyl-tRNA synthetases). tRNAs cope with the degeneracy of the genetic code in two manners: having more than one tRNA (with a specific anti-codon) for a particular amino acid; and 'wobble' base-pairing, i.e. permitting non-standard base-pairing at the 3rd anti-codon position. Lineage: Bacteria; Bacillati; Actinomycetota. The record is from RNAcentral.
GGGGCUGUAGCUCAGUUGGGAGAGCGCCUGGUUUGCAACCAGGAGGUCGUCGGUUCGAUCCCGAUCAGCUCCACCA